This 253-nucleotide ribosomal RNA is filed under the name uncultured bacterium. RNAcentral's name for it is "partial 16S ribosomal RNA". It matches the Rfam family "Bacterial small subunit ribosomal RNA", at positions 524 to 776 of the family's 1533-position model. The record is from RNAcentral.
UACGGAGGGUGCAAGCGUUAUCCGGAUUCACUGGGUUUAAAGGGUGCGUAGGAGGGCAGGUAAGUCAGUGGUGAAAUCCCCAAGCUUAACUUGGUAACUGCCAUUGAUACUAUCUGUCUUGAAUACCGUGGAGAUGAGCGGAAUAUGUCAUGUAGCGGUGAAAUGCUUAGAUAUGACAUAGAACACCAAUUGCGAAGGCAGCUCGUUACACGAAUAUUGACUCUGAGGCACGAAAGCGUGGGGAUCAAACAGG